GAUGAACGCUGGCGGCGUGCCUAAUACAUGCAAGUCGAGCGAACAGAUAAGGAGCUUGCUCCUUUGACGUUAGCGGCGGACGGGUGAGUAACACGUGGAUAACCUACCUAUAAGACUGGGAUAACUUCGGGAAACCGGAGCUAAUACCGGAUAACAUAUUGAACCGCAUGGUUCAAUAGUGAAAGGCGGCUUUGCUGUCACUUAUAGAUGGAUCCGCGCCGUAUUAGCUAGUUGGUAAGGUAACGGCUUACCAAGGCAACGAUACGUAGCCGACCUGAGAGGGUGAUCGGCCACGCUGGAACUGAGACACGGUCCAGACUCCUACGGGAGGCAGCAGUAGGGAAUCUUCCGCAAUGGGCGAAAGCCUGACGGAGCAACGCCGCGUGAGUGAUGAAGGUCUUCGGAUCGUAAAACUCUGUUAUCAGGGAAGAACAAAUGUGUAAGUAACUGCGCACAUCUUGACGGUACCUGAUCAGAAAGCCACGGCUAACUACGUG
RNAcentral lists this ribosomal RNA (497 nucleotides) under uncultured bacterium. Its description in RNAcentral is "partial 16S ribosomal RNA". It matches the Rfam family "Bacterial small subunit ribosomal RNA", at positions 28 to 507 of the family's 1533-position model. The record is from RNAcentral.